AGAGUUUGAUCAUGGCUCAGGAUGAACCCCUGGCGGCGUGCCUAAUACAUGCAAGUCGAACGCGAGCACUUGUGCUCGAGUGGCGAACGGGUGAGUAAUACAUAAGUAACCUGCCCUAGACAGGGGGAUAACUAUUGGAAACGAUAGCUAAGACCGCAUAGGUACGGACACUGCAUGGUGACCGUAUUAAAAGUGCCUCAAAGCACUGGUAGAGGAUGGACUUAUGGCGCAUUAGCUGGUUGGCGGGGUAACGGCCCACCAAGGCGACGAUGCGUAGCCGACCUGAGAGGGUGACCGGCCACACUGGGACUGAGACACGGCCCAGACUCCUACGGGAGGCAGCAGUAGGGAAUUUUCGGCAAUGGGGGAAACCCUGACCGAGCAACGCCGCGUGAAGGAAGAAGGUUUUCGGAUUGUAAACUUCUGUUAUAAAGGAAGAACGGCGGCUACAGGAAAUGGAGCCGAGUGACGGACUUU
This 477-nucleotide ribosomal RNA is filed under the name uncultured bacterium. RNAcentral's name for it is "bacterial SSU rRNA". It matches the Rfam family "Bacterial small subunit ribosomal RNA", at positions 8 to 481 of the family's 1533-position model. The record is from RNAcentral.